This 456-nucleotide ribosomal RNA is filed under the name uncultured Treponema sp. Its description in RNAcentral is "bacterial SSU rRNA". It matches the Rfam family "Bacterial small subunit ribosomal RNA", at positions 25 to 473 of the family's 1533-position model. Lineage: Bacteria; Pseudomonadati; Spirochaetota; Spirochaetia; Treponematales; Treponemataceae. The record is from RNAcentral.
CAGAACGAACGCUGGCGGCGCGUCUUAAGCAUGCAAGUCGAGCGGCAAGGGCAGAAAUGCCCCUAGAGCGGCGGACUGGUGAGUAACGCGUGGGAGACCUGCCUUUGGGAUGGGGACAGCCGCUGGAAACAGCGGGUAAUACCGAAUACGCUCAUUUGGCAAUGGCUAGGUGAGGAAAGGGGCCUUGGCCCCGCCCGGAGAGGGGCCCGCGUCCCAUUAGCUAGUUGGGGGUGUAAAGGACCACCAAGGCGAAGAUGGGUAGCCGGCCUGAGAGGGUGAACGGCCACACUGGGACUGAGAUACGGCCCAGACUCCUACGGGAGGCAGCAGCUAAGAAUAUUCCGCAAUGGUCGAAAGACUGACGGAGCGACGCCGCGUGGGUGACGAAGGCCGAAAGGUUGUAAAGCCCUUUUGUCAGUGAAGAAUAAGCGAUGGAGGGAAUGCCAUCGUGAUGAC